AACGAACGCUGGCGGCAUGCCUAACACAUGCAAGUCGAACGAGACCUUCGGGUCUAGUGGCGCACGGGUGCGUAACGCGUGGGAACCUGCCCUUAGGUUCGGAAUAACUCCCCGAAAGGGGUGCUAAUACCGGAUAAUGUCUUCGGACCAAUGAUUUAUCGCCUUUGGAUGGGCCCGCGUUGGAUUAGCUAGUUGGUAGGGUAAAAGCCUACCAAGGCGAAGAUCCAUAGCUGGUCUGAGAGGAUGAUCAGCCACACUGGGACUGAGACACGGCCCAGACUCCUACGGGAGGCAGCAGUGGGGAAUAUUGGACAAUGGGCGAAAGCCUGAUCCAGCAAUGCCGCGUGAGUGAUGAAGGCCUUAGGGUUGUAAAGCUCUUUUACCCGGGAUGAUAAUGACAGUACCGGGAGAAUAAGCUCCGGCUAACUCCGUG
RNAcentral lists this ribosomal RNA (433 nucleotides) under uncultured bacterium. RNAcentral describes it as "partial 16S ribosomal RNA". It matches the Rfam family "Bacterial small subunit ribosomal RNA", at positions 29 to 507 of the family's 1533-position model. The record is from RNAcentral.